RNAcentral lists this ribosomal RNA (490 nucleotides) under uncultured bacterium. RNAcentral's name for it is "partial 16S ribosomal RNA". It matches the Rfam family "Bacterial small subunit ribosomal RNA", at positions 30 to 507 of the family's 1533-position model. The record is from RNAcentral.
AUUGAACGCUGGCGGCAGGCCUAACACAUGCAAGUCGAACGGUAACAGGAAGCAGCUUGCUGCUUUGCUGACGAGUGGCGGACGGGUGAGUAAUGUCUGGGAAACCGCCUGAUGGAGGGGGAUAACUACUGGAAACGGUAGCUAAUACCGCAUAACGUCGCAAGACCAAAGAGGGGGACCUUCGGGCCUCUUGCCAUCGGAUGUGCCCAGAUGGGAUUAGCUAGUAGGUGGGGUAACGGCUCACCUAGGCGACGAUCCCUAGCUGGUCUGAGAGGAUGACCAGCCACACUGGAACUGAGACACGGUCCAGACUCCUACGGGAGGCAGCAGUGGGGAAUAUUGCACAAUGGGCGCAAGCCUGAUGCAGCCAUGCCGCGUGUAUGAAGAAGGCCUUCGGGUUGUAAAGUACUUUCAGCGGGGAGGAAGGGAGUAAAGUUAAUACCUUUGCUCAUUGACGUUACCCGCAGAAGAAGCACCGGCUAACUCCGUG